GAUGAACGCUGGCGGCGUGCCUAAUACAUGCAAGUCGAGCGAACAGACGAGGAGCUUGCUCCUCUGACGUUAGCGGCGGACGGGUGAGUAACACGUGGAUAACCUACCUAUAAGACUGGGAUAACUUCGGGAAACCGGAGCUAAUACCGGAUAAUAUAUUGAACCGCAUGGUUCAAUAGUGAAAGACGGUUUUGCUGUCACUUAUAGAUGGAUCCGCGCCGCAUUAGCUAGUUGGUAAGGUAACGGCUUACCAAGGCAACGAUGCGUAGCCGACCUGAGAGGGUGAUCAGCCACACUGGAACUGAGACACGGUCCAGACUCCUACGGGAGGCAGCAGUAGGGAAUCUUCCGCAAUGGGCGAAAGCCUGACGGGGCAACGCCGCGUGAGUGAUGAAGGUCUUCGGAUCGUAAAACUCUGUUAUUAGGGAAGAACAAAUGUGUAAGUAACUAUGCACGUCUUGACGGUACCUAAUCAGAAAGCCACGGCUAACUACGUG
RNAcentral lists this ribosomal RNA (497 nucleotides) under uncultured bacterium. Its description in RNAcentral is "partial 16S ribosomal RNA". It matches the Rfam family "Bacterial small subunit ribosomal RNA", at positions 28 to 507 of the family's 1533-position model. The record is from RNAcentral.